ACGGGAGGCAGCAGUGGGGAAUAUUGGACAAUGGGGGAAACCCUGAUCCAGCGACGCCGCGUGAGUGAAGAAGUAUUUCGGUAUGUAAAGCUCUAUCAGCAGGGAAGAUGAUGACGGUACCUGACUAAGAAGCCCCGGCUAACUACGUGCCAGCAGCCGCGGUAAUACGUAGGGGGCAAGCGUUGUUCGGAAUCACUGGGCGUAAAGGGAGCGCAGGCGGAGAUGCAAGCGGACUGUACAAUACCGGGGCCCAACCCCGGACCUGCAGUCCGGACUGCACCUCUUGGAUAGUUCAGGGGCAAGCGGAAUCCCUGGUGUAGCGGUGGAAUGCGUAGAGAUCAGGAAGAACACCGAUGGCGAAGGCAGCUUGCUGGGGACUAAUCGACGCUCAUGCUCGAAAGUGCGGGUAGCAAACAGGAUUAGAUACCCUGGUA
RNAcentral lists this ribosomal RNA (434 nucleotides) under uncultured Fibrobacter sp. RNAcentral's name for it is "partial 16S ribosomal RNA". It matches the Rfam family "Bacterial small subunit ribosomal RNA", at positions 341 to 792 of the family's 1533-position model. Lineage: Bacteria; Pseudomonadati; Fibrobacterota; Fibrobacteria; Fibrobacterales; Fibrobacteraceae. The record is from RNAcentral.